Molecule: ribosomal RNA, 914 nt
Filed under: uncultured marine archaeon
Lineage: Archaea
Description: bacterial SSU rRNA
Rfam family: Archaeal small subunit ribosomal RNA
Source: RNAcentral
UUCCGGUUGAUCCUGCCGGACCUGACUGCUAUCGGAUUGAUACUAAGCCAUGCUAGUCUUUGUAGUAAUACAAGGCAUACGGCUCAGUAACGCGUAGUCAACCUACCCUAUGGACGGGGAUAAUCUCGGGAAACUGAGCAUAAUACCCGACAGACCACUUCUCCUGGAAUGGUUAGUGGUUAAAAUGAUUCGUCGCCAUAGGAUGGGACUGCGGCCUAUCAGCUUGUUGGUGAGGUAAUGGCCCACCAAGGCGAUUACAGGUACGGGCUCUGAGAGGAGAGGCCCGGAGAUGGGUACUGAGACAAGGACCCAGGCCCUAUGGGGCGCAGCAGGCGAGAAAACUUUGCAAUGUGCGAAAGCACGACAAGGUUAAUCCGAGUGAUUUCUGCUAAAGGAAUCUUUUGUUAGUUCUAAAAAUACUAGUGAAUAAGGGGUGGGCAAGUUCUGGUGUCAGCCGCCGCGGUAAAACCAGCACCUCAAGUGGUCAGGAGGAUUAUUGGGCCUAAAGCAUCCGUAGCCUGUUCUAUAAGUUUGCGGUUAAAUCUAUACGCUCAACGUAUAGGCUGCCGUAAAUACUGUAGAACUAGGGAGUGGGAGAGGUAGACGGUACUCGAUAGGAAGGGGUAAAAUCCUUUGAUCUAUUGAUGACCACCUGUGGCGAAGGCGGUCUACCAGAACACGUUCGACGGUGAGGGAUGAAAGCUGGGGGAGCAAACCGGAUUAGAUACCCGGGUAGUCCCAGCUGUAAACGAUGCAGACUCGAUGAUGCAUUGGCAUAUAGCCAGUGCAGUGUCGCAGGGAAGCCGUUAAGUCUGCCGCCUGGGAAGUACGUACGCAAGUAUGAAACUUAAAGGAAUUGGCGGGGGAGCACCACAAGGGGUGAAGCCUGCGGUUCAAUUGGAGUCAACGCCGGG